Molecule: ribosomal RNA, 471 nt
Filed under: uncultured bacterium
Lineage: Bacteria
Description: bacterial SSU rRNA
Rfam family: Bacterial small subunit ribosomal RNA
Source: RNAcentral
CGCUAUCACUCCUACGGGAGGCAGCAGUGGGGAAUAUUGCACAAUGGGCGCAAGCCUGAUGCAGCCAUGCCGCGUGUAUGAAGAAGGCCUUCGGGUUGUAAAGUACUUUCAGCAGUGAGGAAGGCGGAGUGUUAAUAGCGGCCUCGUUUGACGUUAGCUGCAGAAGAAGCACCGGCUAACUCCGUGCCAGCAGCCGCGGUAAUACGGAGGGUGCGAGCGUUAAUCGGAAUUACUGGGCGUAAAGCGCAUGCAGGCGGCCUGUUAAGUCAGAUGUGAAAGCCCGGGGCUUAACCUCGGAAUUGCAUUUGAAACUGGCAGGCUAGAGUCUUGUAGAGGGGGUAGAAUUUCAGGUGUAGCGGUGAAAUGCGUAGAGAUCUGAAGGAAUACCAGUGGCGAAGGCGGCCCCCUGGACAAAGACUGACGCUCAGAUGCGAAAGCGUGGGGAGCAAACAGGAUUAGAUACCCUGGUAG